Molecule: ribosomal RNA, 254 nt
Filed under: uncultured prokaryote
Description: partial 16S ribosomal RNA
Rfam family: Bacterial small subunit ribosomal RNA
Source: RNAcentral
UACGGAGGAUGCGAGCGUUAUCCGGAUUUAUUGGGUUUAAAGGGUGCGUAGGCGGCCGAGUAAGUCAGCGGUGAAAUUUUGCAGCUUAACUGUAACAGUGCCGUUGAUACUGCAUGGCUAGGAUUUGGUUGCUGUGGGUGGAAUGUGUGGUGUAGCGGUGAAAUGCUUAGAUAUUACACAGAACACCGAUUGCGAAGGCAGCUUACUAAUCCAUCAUUGACGCUGAGGCACGAGAGCGUGGGGAUCAAACAGGA